CUACGGGUGGCACCAGGCGAGAAAACUUUGCAAUGUGCGAAAGCACGACAAGGUUAAUCCGAGUGGUUUCUGCUAAAGGAACCUUUUGUCGGUCCUAGAAACACCGAUGAAUAAGGGGUGGGCAAGUUCUGGUGUCAGCCGCCGCGGUAAAACCAGCACCUCAAGUGGUCAGGAUGAUUAUUGGGCCUAAAGCAUCCGUAGCCGGCUCUGUAAGUUUUCGGUUAAAUCUGUAUGCUCAACAUACAGGCUGCCGGGAAUACUGCAUAGCUAGGGAGUGGGAGAGGUAGACGGUACUCGGUAGGAAGGGGUAAAAUCCUUUGAUCUAUUGAUGACCACCUGUGGCGAAGGCGGUCUACCAGAACACGUCCGACGGUGAGGGAUGAAAGCUGGGGGAGCAAACCGGAUUAGAUACCCGCGUAGUC
RNAcentral lists this ribosomal RNA (422 nucleotides) under uncultured archaeon. Its description in RNAcentral is "partial 16S ribosomal RNA". It matches the Rfam family "Archaeal small subunit ribosomal RNA", at positions 323 to 746 of the family's 1478-position model. The record is from RNAcentral.